UACUCCGUUCUGGAUCGGCCGGCCACCUGAGCCCCUUCCCUGCGGCAGAUCCUUCACCGCCCUCCCCCAACCUCCUGCGCGCCGCCCGCAGCCGCCCUCCCCCAACCUCCUGCGAGCCGCCGGCUGCCGCCCUCCCACAACCUCCUUCGCCGGCGCCGCGCUGCCCCGCCACACCUUCUUCCUUCGCCGAUGGCCCGCCGCCCCGCCACACUUUCUUCCUUAGCCGGCGCCCAACCUCCUCACCUCCCCUGCGGCGCCCCACCUCCUUGAGCACCGGCGGCGCCUCCGCACCUCCCCUUCUUCCCGAACAGUGGCGGCGCCUCCACUUGCGUCCUGGUCGGUCGGCGGCGAUCUGCACCUCGACCUCCAUCCCGGAUGGUCACGGUCACGGUGGCCAGUUUAGCUCUGAAUCUCCCCGACCGCCGCUCUGAACCUGCCCCAAGUACCGCUCUGAACCUGCCCCAAUUAAACCUCUCACCGCGAGGUGGACUUCCGGCGGCCGCAGACGUGAAUUUCCAACCACCGUGAAUAUGCUGCACCGGUUCUGGAAGAAAGAGCAUGACUCUGGGUGCGAAAAUUGGGUGGACGGUUUUGUCGUUUUGGCUGUUCUAACCAUCAAGCUCAAGUUUAAGUUAUUAGGUACUUGAUCGAGCAUAUGCUAUAUCUAAGACAUGGAAUGGUGCUAUGGUAAUACUCUCCGGGUAUUUCAACACUACACUUAAGGUAAUUAACUAGUGAACAAUUUAUACUUGCAUUCAGGAUUACAUUCGAGGUACCUAUUCUUAUGUGUUUAUACUCAUUCUAAACGUUAAGAAAGGUCUAUAUGCUGCCCAGAGCUCUCUGUACAAUUUAAUUCUAGAGCAAAAAGGUAGAACUUUUGCAAGACAAAAUAAACUUGAUUCUGGGCAGUCCACUUUCAGUAAAACAAAACUUGAUUUAUUUGGGAGUGUAUUUCAAAAGACUGGUUGGUUUUUCUUUUGGAAGUUCAUAUUUAUUUUGUUAGAAAGUUCGGUUCAUAAUUAUUCCGCGUAGAAAGUCUACUUCUGCUCCCGCCAAGUUUAGUAUUUCAUGUGAGGUAGUAAAAAUAUUUACAUUUGGUUAACGAGUUGGGUUAAACCCAUUGCGAAGUUCGCAUUUAAUUUUUGGGAAGUUCUGUUGGUCCAAUUCACCUUAUUGUGAAAUUUCUUUUUAAAUUCGUAAGUUGGUUUCGCUCCAGAUCUACUCACAAUUCACUUUGUUCAAAAUGGCAAGUUCACUCUUUUUAUUUUGCGGGAGUCCAUUUCAUGUGCAUCAUAUACA
Lolium perenne is the source of this 1299-nucleotide non-coding RNA. NCBI's taxonomy places the organism in Eukaryota, Viridiplantae, Streptophyta, Magnoliopsida, Poales, Poaceae. The record is from RefSeq and is a predicted model, not a curated record.